This 1111-nucleotide ribosomal RNA is filed under the name Pantoea agglomerans. Its description in RNAcentral is "bacterial SSU rRNA". It matches the Rfam family "Bacterial small subunit ribosomal RNA", at positions 73 to 1448 of the family's 1533-position model. The record is from RNAcentral. Lineage: Bacteria; Pseudomonadati; Pseudomonadota; Gammaproteobacteria; Enterobacterales; Erwiniaceae.
AGAGAGCUUGCAUAUUGGGUGACGAGUGGCGGACGGGUGAGUAAUGUCUGGGGAUCUGCCCGAUAGAGGGGGAUAACCACUGGAAACGGUGGCUAAUACCGCAUAACGUCGCAAGACCAAAGAGGGGGACCUUCGGGCCUCUCACUAUCGGAUGAACCCAGAUGGGAUUAGCUAGUAGGCGGGGUAAUGGCCCACCUAGGCGACGAUCCCUAGCUGGUCUGAGAGGAUGACCAGCCACACUGGAACUGAGACACGGUCCAGACUCAUACGGGAGGCAGCAGUGGGGAAUAUUGCACCAUGGGCGCAAGCCUGAUGCAGCCAUGCCGCGUGUAUAAAGAAGGCCUUCGGGUUGUAAAGUACUUUCAGCGGGGAGGAGGGCGAUGGGGUUAAAUAACCCUGUCGAUUGACGUUACCCCGCAGAAGAAGCACCGGGCUUAACUCCGUGCCAGCAGCCGCGGUAAUACGGAGGGUGCAAGCGUUAAUCGGAUUUACUGGGGCGUAAAGCGCACGCAGGCGGUCUGUUUAAGUCAGAUGUGAAAUCCCCGGGGCUUCCAGGUUAAGUCGACCGCCUGGGGAGUACGGCCGCAAGGUUAAACCGCACAAGCAUGUGGUUUAAUUCGAUGCAACGCGAAGAACCUUACCUACUCUUGACAUCCACCGAAUUUUGCAGAGAUGCCUUAGUGCCUUCGGGAACCCUGAGACAGGUGCUGCAUGGCUGUCGUCAGCUCGUGUUGUGAAAUGUUGGGUUAAGUCCCGCAACGAGCGCAACCCUUAUCCUUUGUUGCCAGCGAUUCGGUCGGGAACUCAAAGGAGACUGCCGGUGAUAAACCGGAGGAAGGUGGGGAUGACGUCAAGUCAUCAUGGCCCUUACGAGUAGGGCUACACACGUGCUACAAUGGCGCAUACAAAGAGAAGCGACCUCGCGAGAGCAAGCGGACCUCACAAAGUGCGUCGUAGUCCGGAUCGGAGUCUGCAACUCGACUCCGUGAAGUCGGAAUCGCUAGUAAUCGUGGAUCAGAAUGCCACGGUGAAUACGUUCCCGGGCCUUGUACACACCGCCCGUCACACCAUGGGAGUGGGUGCAAAAGAAGUAGGUAGCUACCGCAACGCA